Molecule: long non-coding RNA, 562 nt
Organism: Gadus macrocephalus (Pacific cod)
Lineage: Eukaryota; Metazoa; Chordata; Actinopteri; Gadiformes; Gadidae
Exons: 3
Source: RefSeq, a predicted model, not a curated record
AUAUGCUUGGAGAAUGUGUGAUAUGAUAGUAGUUCAAACUAGAAUGCGUUUCGUCCUAACGAACUGACGUAGUAAAAAGUAGUCCAAUUUGGCAGCGCCACCUGCACGUGCGCCAUGUUCUGACCUGAGCAGCUGAGCUAAUCACCGACCAACUGAGACCAACUGAAACGAAGCCGAUACGGAACGUAAACUGUGAUUCUGAAAAAAGUAUAAAGGCGACCAACGCAGGAACCCAGAACGAGAAAAGACGACAGGGGGAAGAUUUUCAUCAGUAUUCGAAAAAUACGAAAAAGCCCGCCCCCUCGCGGCCGAUAAAGAAAGUUUUUUUGGACGACCCACCAAUCAGCGACGAGGACGAGGACGACGACGGAGAAGCCCAAAGCGUCGGAUCGAACCCCCGUCAAACCAACGCUUAUAUUACUUGCUUUCAUUGAAUUAAACAAACCAUUUAUUCUUGUGAUUUUUAUAUUAAAAUAAUGCCAUUUGUUAUUGUCAACUUAUUGCUUUCAAUGAUAUCUUUUUAUAAUCCAUUUGCUGUCAGUGUUAUGAGUUUAUUGAAAUA